CAAACCUUUCGAACCCAUAUACCCCUGUGUUUCCGUUUUUGAAUCAUUAUUAUUUGUCCUUUCGGCCUGAACACAUCUAAAUUUGUUGUGUAGUCUCAAAUUAUUUCUUUUUGUUUGGUUCAAAAAACUUUACGGAUUAAUCAUGUGUUGCGGACCUUGUGGACCUUGCUGUGGACCCUGCUGUGGGCCCUGCGGACCGUGCUGUGGACCCUGCGGCGGAGGAUGUGGUCCCUGCUUUGGACCCAAUGUCUGCGGACCAUGCUAUGCCUGUGGACCCUGUGGCGGCUGCUACUGUGGAUAUCCUUGCUGUUAGAGUCGGACAAUUGGGGAUCCCUUAAAAGCUUAUGCGC
Long non-coding RNA from Drosophila takahashii, 350 nucleotides. RefSeq lists it as uncharacterized. Lineage: Eukaryota; Metazoa; Arthropoda; Insecta; Diptera; Drosophilidae. The record is from RefSeq and is a predicted model, not a curated record.